ACAAAUCCUUAUAUGAUAUUGAAUAACCGAAAAUUACACGUUAUUCCAAAAUGCAGCGAAAAAAAAUAAAACUAUAAAAUAAUUUUCUUAACAACCUUAUGUGACUCAAAAUUAUAAACUGAAUGAAGUCUAUAUACCCUACUCCAAAUUUUAUUUUUAUGAUCACCUUAUGUGUGUUUAGAACAAUAAUGUAAAAAUUAUCCCGUAAAAAAUAAUCUAAACACACUACUUUAUAAUUAUAAAUAAAUAAACGAGUACAAUGAAAAUCAUAUACGACAAAUACCAAAUGUUAUAUAUAAUUUUAAUAUAUAAACUUCUUCAAGAAUGAGUCAUACUUAUAAAGAAAAUUAUAAAUCAAAAUUAUAUAUAUAUAUAUAUUCUUUAUCUUUAUUCAUUAAAUAAAUAAAUAAAAUUUUUUU
Molecule: long non-coding RNA, 419 nt
Filed under: Ananas comosus (pineapple)
Lineage: Eukaryota; Viridiplantae; Streptophyta; Magnoliopsida; Poales; Bromeliaceae
Description: long non-coding RNA (ACOM_LNC040299)
Source: RNAcentral